GACGAACGCUGGCGGCGUGCUUAACACAUGCAAGUCGAACGGACAGGCCCUGCUUUUGUGGGGUGCUCGAGUGGCGAACGGGUGAGUAACACGUGAGUAACCUGCCCUUGACUUUGGGAUAACUUCAGGAAACUGGGGCUAAUACCGGAUAGGAGCUCCUGCUGCAUGGUGGGGGUUGGAAAGUUUCGGCGGUUGGGGAUGGACUCGCGGCUUAUCAGCUUGUUGGUGGGGUAGUGGCUUUCCAAGGCUUUGACGGGUAGCCGGCCUGAGAGGGUGACCGGCCACAUUGGGACUGAGAGACGGCCCAGACUCCUACGGGAGGCAGCAGGGGGGAAUAUUGCACAAUGGGCGGAAGCCUGAUGCAGCAACGCCGCGUGCGGGAUGACGGGCUUCGGGUUGUAAACCGCUUUCGCCUGUGACGAAGCGUGAGUGACGGUAAUGGGUAAAGAAGCACCGGCUAACUACGUG
RNAcentral lists this ribosomal RNA (468 nucleotides) under uncultured bacterium. Its description in RNAcentral is "partial 16S ribosomal RNA". It matches the Rfam family "Bacterial small subunit ribosomal RNA", at positions 28 to 507 of the family's 1533-position model. The record is from RNAcentral.